CCUUUGUCUUGUAAAGAAAUAACUCACAUACCUAUGCCUUAUAAAUGUAGCCCUACCCUCAACACAUUGCAGCUCUUCACUGCCCAGGGGUCCUGACCCCAUGCUAUUCUCUGAAUAAAAGAGCAUACUACCAGACCAUGAGAGUCCAAGGAAUCUUUCUUUUGACUCCUCGGCUCGCCAAGCCCACAUCAGGAGAUAAAUCAGCCACCAAACUGCUGAAGUGAAUUAAACUAAACUGGUCAACAAAAAUAAGGACAGUAGAGACUCCAAAGAAUGAGCAUAGCAAAAUACCCUUGGACUCAGCACCUUGUUGGAGCGUCAUGAAACCUCAAGAAUAGAAGAAGCAAGGAAUGUCAAAACAUGUUUGUCUUCAUUGAAGAAAUAAACAUUGGUGAAGUUAUGUAAAAGAUAAAAUAAUUUAAUUUUAUUAGGCUAAAGUGCUUCGAAAUAGAAUAUAAGGAAUGUAAAAAUUCUUUGAACCAGCUAUGUAUAAUAAGGUCCCAAGGAAAUACUUGGAAGGUAACUUGAUAAUGAAUAAUCAUCUGUGGGGGAGAGUUUAAGCUAACAGCGACUCUGUUAAUCAUCUACACUAUAGGUCUACUUAUUCCACUCUAUGAACAUGAUACCUACUUCUUUACCUCCUCAGUAAGAUUCACUCCUUUCUCCACUUUGCUUAUUAUUUGCGGUAUUUGAUUUUUUGAAGUAUGUCAAUAUUCCUAGUCAUAACUCUCCAUCUAGCAUUCGUUCUUUUAACUGCAACCUGACCUCAAUUAAUCCUCCACAUCAGCUCAACAAAAAGGACCUGAAUGUGUUUUUUUCUCUCGAGAAGACUAUGCAAUAGUCACCAAACUUGAAGUAAAAGAAAGAUGGAAGAUGUAGCAUUAAUCUUUUGUUGGCCCAAGCCUUUACAGAUGAUGACUAAUGGCUGUUGCUAGACAGAAAAUAAAGAUUUCAUGUGUUUAAUAUUUAAUAUUCUGCUCAUGGGAGACAUUAUGUGAGACAGAGUUCAUUUACAAACAAAAAUGAGGGGUGGAAAAGAAGAAAAGGUGAUGAAAUAACAAGGAAUCCAGGGCUGCCGUGAAUAGUUGUGCAAGAUUUGCCUUGACCAAAAGUAUUUUGUACUGGGGAAAGUGAGGCUGAAAUCCAGUUAGAGCUCAGCUUUAGGGCCUAUGCUUCCCCCUGAGAAAAUGGGCAUUUUUUAAAAUCUCACAAAGAUGGCACAAUGGUAAGUCCCCUUCUGUAGAAGAAGAUUGUUUUUUUUUUCAGAGCAAUAAACUCACUAAAACAUUUUAACACCCCCUUCCAUUAUUUAGAAUAUUUUUCCUCCUUUGUUUUACCUCUCUCCUUUCUCUUCCUCUUUUUUCUUUUUUAAUCUCUUUGACUCUUGACUUCCUAUGAGUUGUGGAGGGUUCUGAGUUAAUGAACAAACAGCAACUUGUGGACCAAGUUCACCCCACAUCUUUUUUUGUAUACCUUGCAAGCUAGAAAAGGUUUUUACAUUUGUAAGUGGUUGAAAAAAUUAAAUAUUUUAUGACAUGUGGCAAUUAUUUGAAUUCAUAUUUCAGUUUGUGUAAAUAAAGUUUUAUGUAGCAC
This is a long non-coding RNA of Equus caballus (horse), 1593 nucleotides long. NCBI's taxonomy places the organism in Eukaryota, Metazoa, Chordata, Mammalia, Perissodactyla, Equidae. The record is from Ensembl.